GAGUUUGAUCGUGGCUCAGAAUAAACGCUGGCAGCGUGCCUAACACAUGCAAGUCGAGCGAGAAAGUUCCUUCGGGAACUAGUAAAGCGGCGAACGGUUGAGUAACACGUGAGAAUCUACCCUUCAGUGAGGAAUACCACCGAGAAAUCGGUGUUAAUACUGCAUACGUCCCUUCGGGGAGAAAGGUGGCUUUAAUGCUGCCGCUGAUGGAUGAGCUUGCGAGCUAUCAGUUAGUUGGUGAGGUAAUGGCUCACCAAGGCUAUGACGGCUAUCCGGCCUGAGAGGGUGUACGGACAGACUGGGACUUAGACACGGCCCAGACUCCUACGGGAGGCAGCAGUGGGGAAUAUUGCGCAAUGGGGCGAAAGCCUGACGCAGCGACGCCGCGUGAAGGAUGAAGGUCUUCGGAUUGUAAACUUCUGUUAAGUGGGAAGAAAGAUGCAUUUUUAAUAGAAAUGUGUGAUGACGGUACCGUAAGAAGAAGCACCGGCUAACUACGUGCCAGCCGCCGCA
RNAcentral lists this ribosomal RNA (513 nucleotides) under uncultured Nitrospira sp. RNAcentral describes it as "bacterial SSU rRNA". It matches the Rfam family "Bacterial small subunit ribosomal RNA", at positions 9 to 519 of the family's 1533-position model. Lineage: Bacteria; Pseudomonadati; Nitrospirota; Nitrospiria; Nitrospirales; Nitrospiraceae. The record is from RNAcentral.